GACGAACGCUGGCGGCGUGCUUAACACAUGCAAGUCGAGCGGUAAGGCCCUUUCGGGGGUACACGAGCGGCGAACGGGUGAGUAACACGUGGGUGACCUGCCCUCAGCUCUGGGAUAAGCCUGGGAAACCGGGUCUAAUACUGGAUAUGACUCCAUGACGCAUGUUGUGGGGUGGAAAGCCUUGUGCGGCUGAGGAUGGGCCCGCGGCCUAUCAGCUUGUUGGUGGGGUGANGGCCUACCAAGGCGACGACGGGUAGCCGGCCUGAGAGGGCGACCGGCCACACUGGGACUGAGACACGGCCCAGACUCCUACGGGAGGCAGCAGUGGGGAAUUGUUCGCAAUGGGCGCAAGCCUGACGACGCAACGCCGCGUGGAGGAGUGAAGGUCUUCGGAUUGUAAACUCCUGUUGCUCGGGACGAAAUGCUCCAGCCUAACACGUUGGAGUUUGACGGUACCGGGUGA
Molecule: ribosomal RNA, 463 nt
Filed under: uncultured bacterium
Lineage: Bacteria
Description: bacterial SSU rRNA
Rfam family: Bacterial small subunit ribosomal RNA
Source: RNAcentral